RNAcentral lists this ribosomal RNA (1021 nucleotides) under Slopeiomyces cylindrosporus. Its description in RNAcentral is "SSU rRNA". It matches the Rfam family "Eukaryotic small subunit ribosomal RNA", at positions 77 to 1107 of the family's 1831-position model. The record is from RNAcentral. Lineage: Eukaryota; Fungi; Ascomycota; Sordariomycetes; Magnaporthales; Magnaporthaceae.
UACAGCGAAACUGCGAAUGGCUCAUUAAAUCAGUUAUCGUUUAUUUGAUAGUACCUUACUACAUGGAUAACCGUGGUAAUUCUAGAGCUAAUACAUGCUAAAAACCCCGACUUCGGAAGGGGUGUAUUUAUUAGAUUAAAAACCAAUGCCCUUCGGGGCUCACUGGUGAUUCAUGAUAACUUCUCGAAUCGCACGGCCUUGCGCCGGCGAUGGUUCAUUCAAAUUUCUGCCCUAUCAACUUUCGACGGCUGGGUCUUGGCCAGCCGUGGUGACAACGGGUAACGGAGGGUUAGGGCUCGACCCCGGAGAAAACGCCUGAGAAACGGCGUUUACAUCCAAGGAAGGCAGCAGGCGCGCAAAUUACCCAAUGCCGACACGGCGAGGUAGUGACGAGAAAUACUGAUACAGGGCUCUUUUGGGUCUUGUAAUUGGAAUGAGUACAAUUUAAAUCUCUUAACGAGGAACAAUUGGAGGGCAAGUCUGGUGCCAGCAGCCGCGGUAAUUCCAGCUCCAAUAGCGUAUAUUAAAGUUGUUGCAGUUAAAAAGCUCGUAGUUGAACCUUGGGCCUGGCUGGCCGGUCCGCCUCACCGCGUGCACUGGUCCGGCCGGGCCUUUCCCUCUGGGGAGCCCCAUGCCCUUCACUGGGCGUGGCGGGGAACCAGGACUUUUACUUUGAAAAAAUUAGAGUGUUCAAAGCAGGCCUAUGCUCGAAUACAUUAGCAUGGAAUAAUAGAAUAGGACGUGUGGUUCUAUUUUGUUGGUUUCUAGGACCGCCGUAAUGAUUAAUAGGGACAGUCGGGGGCGUCAGUAUUCAAUUGUCAGAGGUGAAAUUCUUGGAUUUAUUGAAGACUAACUACUGCGAAAGCAUUCGUCAAGGAUGUUUUCAUUAAUCAGGAACGAAAGUUAGGGGAUCGAAAACGAUCAGAUACCGUUGUAGUCUUAACCAUAAACUAUGCCGACUAGGGAUCGGGCGGUGUUAUUUUUUGACCCGCUCGGCACCUUACACGAAAGUACAAGUUUC